This 1469-nucleotide long non-coding RNA is filed under the name Equus caballus (horse). Its description in RNAcentral is "lncRNA (ENSECAG00000035684.3)". The record is from RNAcentral. Lineage: Eukaryota; Metazoa; Chordata; Mammalia; Perissodactyla; Equidae.
AGGACUGAGGGGAUGUGACUGGAGGCAGGGAGGGUGGAGCAGGAGCUGUGAGGAGGGUGCUGAUAGAAAGGGGAUUUGGAGGGAAGGAGAUGAUGGCAAGAGAUUUCUUGGACUUGCCAGCUGAUUUGAUAAAAGAGGCAAAGGAGAUGAAGUAAAGAAAAAAGAGACCCUCUCCCCAGAGUCUGUGUCUGGUUGACUGGAAGCAUGGUGCAUGGUGCUUGGUGGCUGCACAAGACGAGCAAAGAAGUCUGAGGAGGAGCUUUUGGGUUGGGGCGAGGGGUGUGGAUGCUCCUGGCUAAGGUCGAGACGUGUACGUGGGCUCCGUCUCUGUCAUCAGUCAUGAAGCCAAAUUAAACUGAAGCAUAAGCAUUGCCCUCCAUCAUGUUUAUCUGCAAGAUAUUAAUAAAAACACGGUGGCUGUUCAUUCCAUUUUUCACUUUUACUUGUCAUUACCUUGUUGCACCAAUCAAGCAAACAGAUGGUGAUCACUUAAUUGAAGUACAGGCUGAGCUUUACACCUAUAUUUCAUAACUGUCUGGACGAUGGAACCAUGUGCACGUUUUACCAACAGCCCUUGAGAGAGGUUAUCUUGCAUGGCUUAAGGAGAAAGAAUCCACAUGUCGAAGGAACACAUUUAUAAUUGUGGGAUAUCAGGCACCACUGACAGUGACUAAAGAAGUUUGGAGGCAUCGGUGCUCAGAUCUCAUCUUCUCCUGGAGUGGGCCAUCUCUGUCUAUUCCUGGACAGUCUGCCCUGCUUAUCAGCUCACAGCUAAAUCUUCCACCUGAACAGCUUCUCCCAUCCUCAUUAACUCAGGACGGUCGCUGUGCUCAGGAUCUUCUGACACUUUCUCUGGCUUUUUUCAUCCUGACUUCUCCACGUUCCAUGGGUAUCUUCCCCUUCACUUUCAAGGAUACACAAGUUCACUCAACUUGAUAAUUCUUCAUUUGGUUCUGUUGCAUACUCUAAGAAAUCUGUCAAUCUCCUCUCUUUUACUGCCCAAACUUUUAAGUGUAUAUUAUAUACGUCCUCUGCCUCUAUCUUUCACUGCCUGCUCAUUCUUUAAAAUUUUGAUUAAAUUUUAACUCAACAAAACUUCUUGUGGCAACAUCCUAAGUCUUUACUCUUCUUGAUGCCUUUUUGAAAUUCAAUUCUUCUAACAAUCCCUUCUUCUAGAAUAAUCAUUCGCAAUCUUAUCAGACCCUCAAUUCCUUUUAGCACAAAUACUUGUGAUGCUGCCCUAUCAUUCUGUAAUGAAAUGCGUUGACAAUAUAACUUUACUCACAGAAUUUUAAUAGUUCUGUUUAAUGCCUUAACUGUAUAUACAUGAGAAUUAAAGGAAACAUUUCUAAUGAAACAAUAUGCAUCAAUAUAUGGAAUCACCAUUAAUAGAACAGAUACAGAUGCAGAUUGAUACAAAUGUAAUUCAAAUACCAUGAGCAGCACUGCCCUCAAAAAUAGGAAUGUAU